UAUGUACUAUUAACUCCAUUAAAAUACACUUAGAAUUACACUAAUUAUGUACUUCUAGGUAACUAAGUAUACUGGAUAACUAAACCAUUAGUUUACUUUAUACAGACUAUUAGUCUGUAUGUGUUCUGUAUGUGUAUAAUGUUCAGUAGUAAUGCAGGUAGGAAGACCCAGGACACGCUGGAGAGAACGCCUUGGGGUCCCACCGGAAGAGCUGGAGGAAGUGUCCAGGGAGAAGGAAGUCUGGAACUGUCUGCUCAGACUGCUGCCCCCGCGACCCAGCCCCAAAUAAGCGGAUGAAAAUGGAUGGAUUGAUGGAUAGUAAUGCAUUUAUAACACAUUAGAUAAUGUUUAUUUAAUAUAUGAAAUGCUUUCUCUUAUCUGAUGGGGUUUAACCUUUAGUGCUGUCUGGUGUUUUAUAGAUGGACUAAAGGAAGGAAAGAACCAAACCAAGUCAAUCUUUUUUUACACUUUUCGUCACAACACACACAACUAAAAACAUUAGUGACAUGGAGCUUUGAGAACCUUUCAAAUAAUGAACAACAUAUAUACAGUACAAUACACAAUAAUACAAACUAUCUGCAAACACGGUUACUAUGGUAUUUACAUUGCUUAGAGAACAUGAUCUUCAUGAAUCGCUUUGUUUGUCCCCACUGGUUCAUACUAAUGUUCACAUCACUAGAGAACAUGAUGCAGCAUUAUCUGAUAAACACCAACUAUAGUGUUUGCUACCACCUAAAAAGUGAUAUUUAUUACUUAAAGGUAAGAGGUUACAGUUAACCAAACCACAGAACAUUAACACCAUUAUAUAUACUAUCUUUUAAUUCAAAAUGAAACUUACUGAGUUGGAAACUUACUUCUGCUUUCCACUUUCGUUUAACAACAACAAAGUGCAUCAUGAUUGGUCAGGACAGGGCCUUAUAUAGAGCUGGUACUGUACGCAGGCAAAACAUAGCUUUGAAUGCCUUCAGACCCCUUGAAAACAAACCAAAAAAAGCAGGUUGCCAAAUGUGACGGACAGAGACAGACAGCAAGAUUCAUACACGACCCCCGUGGAGCCCUUUUUAAUAACAGAUCUCUGCGUGAGACCAUUGAAAACAAAUGCUCGUCUGUGCUCAACACACGACCCGCUCUCGAAAAAGAUGCAUAUGAAGUUAUCUGUGAUACGAAUGACGAAACACAUGUAAUAUUGUUCAGAAUCAAUUUGUGGCAUCCACGGGUUGUUUGGAACUUUUUUUUUGUUAAUGAUGAUGCCAACAUCCACCGUUUAAGAUACAUCACUCCAUUGGAUGAUGACCAGCAGCCACGAAGGACCGUUUGGAUACAUGAACAAAAUGAGAUUGAAAGUUCUUACCCUGACAAGGCUUUUCAGUUAAAUUGGCAGAAAAUAAACCCAACCACAAAGAAUGAUAUACUUAAUAAAUUACAGGAUCUCAGCGAUGAGUUUAAAAACAGAACAAAUCAAUAUGGAUGGGUUUUAAAUAUUUUCAGUGAUCAUGUAGAAAAAAUAACAGUGGAUAAGCCAGAGUUUAAUAAUGAGUCAUCAUCAAAAUCAUUGAUGGGGAAUAUACAUGUACAUGUAGAGCAAAAAUUAAUUGAAAAAACACAUAAAUUCCUUAAGGAGAACCCUGAGAGGAAUAUUAUACAUUUCAUAAUGUAUACAAAUAAGUUUCCAUGUUUAAAAAGACGCACAAAAGACAAUACUAACCCUUGUUUUAUUCAAAUUAUAAAAUCUGCCUUUGAAUAUAACAGUGAUAGAGGAGCAGGAAUUGAUGUUUUCUUCACAAAUAGCUGGGGUCCGCUCCACCACACAAAUUUUAAUUUUUUGACAUAUUCCAAACUAAUAAAUACUGGCAAUGUUUUUCAUGAAUACCACCGUAAACAAUACAAUAAAAGAUUUAAGCUGGAUCAAAAGUGUUUCAAAGAUAACACUGAAAUACAAAAAGUACUGGCUCACACAGAUAAACCGCACAGAAUGCAAUUUAUGGAUGAACUGAAAAGAGUUAAGAAUAAACUAACAACUAAGGAACUCACCAUUAUAGAACAUAUAGACUAUUUAGAGGAAGUGGUUUAUAACAAUGAUGCCAAUACAUCAAAAAUUUACAGGGAUAAAAUUUAUGACAUGUUUUUAAAUAUGGAGCUGAAAUAUUUAGAGCAGGAAAUUUUUGUUGUUGUUGAUAUAACAUCAGAUUUCAACAGUAUAAUUGUUAAAUGUUUACUAGAAGACCUUCCAUCCAUUUUGGGGAACAAUAGGUAUUUUAGGCUUCAUCAUGUCCAGCAGGAUGAUCCAGCGAAACAAAUAAUUGAAAUGAUUAAAAAACAAAGAACUAACCAUUGAAUAACUUGAAUGCUCUGUGUUGUCAACGCUGUUGCCAGAAUAAAACAGAUGAUUCCAUCA
RNAcentral lists this long non-coding RNA (2395 nucleotides) under Betta splendens (Siamese fighting fish). RNAcentral's name for it is "lncRNA (ENSBSLG00000010691.1)". Lineage: Eukaryota; Metazoa; Chordata; Actinopteri; Anabantiformes; Osphronemidae. The record is from RNAcentral.